RNAcentral lists this transfer RNA (85 nucleotides) under Ghiorsea sp. RNAcentral describes it as "tRNA-Leu". It matches the Rfam family "tRNA". From Rfam's summary of the family: Transfer RNA (tRNA) molecules are approximately 80 nucleotides in length. Their secondary structure includes four short double-helical elements and three loops (D, anti-codon, and T loops). Further hydrogen bonds mediate the characteristic L-shaped molecular structure. tRNAs have two regions of fundamental functional importance: the anti-codon, which is responsible for specific mRNA codon recognition, and the 3' end, to which the tRNAs corresponding amino acid is attached (by aminoacyl-tRNA synthetases). tRNAs cope with the degeneracy of the genetic code in two manners: having more than one tRNA (with a specific anti-codon) for a particular amino acid; and 'wobble' base-pairing, i.e. permitting non-standard base-pairing at the 3rd anti-codon position. Lineage: Bacteria; Pseudomonadati; Pseudomonadota; Candidatius Mariprofundia; Mariprofundales. RNAcentral also lists the same sequence under 1 other name. The record is from RNAcentral.
GCGAGGGUGGCGGAACUGGUAGACGCGCUGGAUUUAGGUUCCAGUGUCUUACGGCGUGAGGGUUCGACUCCCUCCUCUCGUACCA